RNAcentral lists this ribosomal RNA (441 nucleotides) under uncultured bacterium. RNAcentral's name for it is "bacterial SSU rRNA". It matches the Rfam family "Bacterial small subunit ribosomal RNA", at positions 958 to 1398 of the family's 1533-position model. The record is from RNAcentral.
AACGCGAAGAACCUUACCUACCCUUGACAUCCUCGAAAUCCUGUAGAGAUACGGGAGUGCCUUCGGGAAUCGAGAGACAGGUGCUGCAUGGCUGUCGUCAGCUCGUGUCGUGAGAUGUUGGGUUAAGUCCCGUAACGAGCGCAACCCUUGUUCCUAGUUACUAACACGUUAUGGUGAGGACUCUAGGAAGACUGCUGGUGAUAAAUCGGAGGAAGGUGGGGACGACGUCAAGUCAUCAUGGUCUUUAUGGGUAGGGCUACACACGUGCUACAAUGGGCAGUACAGAGGGUCGCCAAACCGUGAGGUGGAGCUAAUCCCACAAAGCUGUUCGUAGUCCGGAUUGGAGUCUGCAACUCGACUCCAUGAAGUUGGAAUCGCUAGUAAUCGCGAAUCAGAAUGUCGCGGUGAAUACGUUCCCGGGCCUUGUACACACCGUACGUC